AUUGAACGCUGGCGGCAGGCCUAACACAUGCAAGUCGAGCGGAUGAAGGGAGCUUGCUCCUGGAUUCAGCGGCGGACGGGUGAGUAAUGCCUAGGAAUCUGCCUGGUAGUGGGGGAUAACGUCCGGAAACGGGCGCUAAUACCGCAUACGUCCUGAGGGAGAAAGUGGGGGAUCUUCGGACCUCACGCUAUCAGAUGUGCCUAGUUCGGAUUCGCUAGUUGGUGGGGUAAAGGCCUACCAAGGCGACGAUCCGUAACUGGUCUGAGAGGAUGAUCAGUCACACUGGAACAGAGACACGGUCCAGACACCUACGGGAGGCAGCAGUGGGGAAUAUUGGACAAUGGGCGAAAGCCUGAUCCAGCGAUGCCGCGUGUGUGAAGAAGGUCUUCGGAUUGUAAAGCACUUUAAGUUGGGAGGAAGGGCAGUAAGAUAAUACCUGGCUGUUUUGACGUUACCAACAGAAUAAGCACCGGCUAACUUCGUG
RNAcentral lists this ribosomal RNA (484 nucleotides) under uncultured bacterium. RNAcentral describes it as "partial 16S ribosomal RNA". It matches the Rfam family "Bacterial small subunit ribosomal RNA", at positions 30 to 507 of the family's 1533-position model. The record is from RNAcentral.